This 406-nucleotide ribosomal RNA is filed under the name uncultured bacterium. RNAcentral describes it as "partial 16S ribosomal RNA". It matches the Rfam family "Bacterial small subunit ribosomal RNA", at positions 30 to 526 of the family's 1533-position model. The record is from RNAcentral.
AUUGAACGCUGGCGGCAGGCUUAACACAUGCACGUCGAGCGAGCGGCGGACGGGUGAGUAAUGUCUGGGAAACUGCCUGAUGGAGGGGGAUAACUACUGGAAACGGUAGCUAAUACCGCAUACCAUCAGAUGUGCCCAGAUGGGAGUAGCUAGUCGGUGGGGUAAUGGCUCACCUAGGCGACGAUCCCUAGCUGGUCUGAGAGGAUGACCAGCCACACUGAAACGGAGUCACGGUCCUGAUUCCUACGGCAGGCAGCAGUCGGGAAUAGUGCACAAUGGGCGCAAGCCUGCUGGAGCCAUGCCGCGUGUCUGAAGAAGGCCUUCGGGGUGUAAAGCACUUUCAGCGAGGGCGCGUUACUCGCAUACGACGCACCGGCUAACUCCGUGCCGGCGGCCGCGGUAGUAG